RNAcentral lists this unclassified non-coding RNA (90 nucleotides) under Pseudomonas mediterranea. Lineage: Bacteria; Pseudomonadati; Pseudomonadota; Gammaproteobacteria; Pseudomonadales; Pseudomonadaceae. The record is from RNAcentral.
UGUGGGAGCGAGCCUGCUCGCGAUGGCGUCGGGUCAGUCUGCAUCAAUGUCGGAUGCACCACCGCUAUCGCGAGCAGGCUCGCUCCCACA